UAGCGUAUAUUUAAGUUGUUGC
This 22-nucleotide non-coding RNA is filed under the name Arabidopsis thaliana (thale cress). Lineage: Eukaryota; Viridiplantae; Streptophyta; Magnoliopsida; Brassicales; Brassicaceae. The record is from RNAcentral.